GAGGAAGGACUAACUUAGAUAUUGAUAUAUUACAGUUGUAUUUAACUUAAAAAUUCACGGAGAUAUUGAUGUUAAAAAUGGGGAGCAUAUUUUGGAAUGUGUCUAAAAUUAGCGAAAAUCGGCAUAUCAAAUAUUAACUCCAGCGUUUGUUUGCUUAAUGACAUAUUAGGCUAACUUGUAUUUCAGCGAAUUAUCGUUAAGGUUUGUAAGGGAUAUGGCGUAGAUUUAGACAUCUUACAUGUAAGUCUUAGCUCAUUGUUUCCUGAAAUAUGAACGUUCGAAAUUAUGCAAGUAUUUAAUAUUAGGUCCUUGCAAACUUAAAUGUACAUGAAAGACUGACCAUGGAAGGCAGGCGCUUAAAUUUUUCGUAUUCUUAAAUAGCCUAAUUUUUUUAUGUUUUUAAUGG
RNAcentral lists this long non-coding RNA (406 nucleotides) under Paramuricea clavata. Lineage: Eukaryota; Metazoa; Cnidaria; Anthozoa; Malacalcyonacea; Plexauridae. The record is from RNAcentral.